GCGGGUAUGGCGGAAUUGGCAGACGCGCCAGAUUUAGGUUCUGGUGGGAGACCGUGCAGGUUCAAGUCCUGUUACCCGCA
Molecule: transfer RNA, 80 nt
Rfam family: tRNA
About the family: Transfer RNA (tRNA) molecules are approximately 80 nucleotides in length. Their secondary structure includes four short double-helical elements and three loops (D, anti-codon, and T loops). Further hydrogen bonds mediate the characteristic L-shaped molecular structure. tRNAs have two regions of fundamental functional importance: the anti-codon, which is responsible for specific mRNA codon recognition, and the 3' end, to which the tRNAs corresponding amino acid is attached (by aminoacyl-tRNA synthetases). tRNAs cope with the degeneracy of the genetic code in two manners: having more than one tRNA (with a specific anti-codon) for a particular amino acid; and 'wobble' base-pairing, i.e. permitting non-standard base-pairing at the 3rd anti-codon position.
Source: Rfam